CCGGGUGAGUAACACGUGACUAACCUACCUCCGAGUGGGGAAUAACUCCGGGAAACCGGGGCUAAUACCGCAUAACAUCGCAAGAUCAAAGCAGCAAUGCGCUUGGAGAGGGGGUCGCGGCUGAUUAGCUCGUUGGCGGGGUAACGGCCCACCAAGGCGAAGAUCGGUAUCCGGCCUGAGAGGGCGCACGGACACACUGGAACUGAAACACGGUCCAGACUCCUACGGGAGGCAGCAGUGGGGAAUUUUGCGCAAUGGGGGAAACCCUGACGCAGCAACGCCGCGUGGAGGAUGAAGCCCUUUGGGGCGUAAACUCCUUUCGACUCGGACGAUAAUGACGGUACGAGUGGAAGAAGCACCGGCUAACUCUGUGCCAGCAGCCGCGG
Molecule: ribosomal RNA, 386 nt
Filed under: uncultured bacterium
Lineage: Bacteria
Description: bacterial SSU rRNA
Rfam family: Bacterial small subunit ribosomal RNA
Source: RNAcentral